This is a long non-coding RNA of Eutrema salsugineum, 1723 nucleotides long. RefSeq lists it as uncharacterized. The transcript is spliced from 7 exons. NCBI's taxonomy places the organism in Eukaryota, Viridiplantae, Streptophyta, Magnoliopsida, Brassicales, Brassicaceae. The record is from RefSeq and is a predicted model, not a curated record.
AUAAAAUUUUUGUGCUUAGAAAAGGAAAAAAAUAACAAACCUUCAAACCCUUGAUUAUCUCUUCUAUCCGCUUCACUCCUUGAAAGCGAUCAUCAAAGUUUUUAUCUGGGUAUUACUAAUUUACUAUGCGCGGAUCUGAUCGGCGGAGACAUCCCUCAGCUUCUCGACAUUACACAAUGGCUAAAGGAAAAAAGUGGAGACAUCCUUCAGGUCUGAUCUGAUCGAAUUGGAGACAUAUUUCAGCGAUGGGAUAAGAUUAAGCCUCUGGUCUUUGACAAAUUUAGGAAUCUGAGAGCUUAUUCUCCUUACUGUUUCUUCAAAAGUGAUUUUCUUAAAAGCAUUUUCACAUUGUUUAAUGGAAAAUUCUGUGUUAGUUUCAGCUACUCCGUAUUAUGAGCAAUGGGAAUAAGAUGGGGUAAAGCUCUUUCUGGGUUAACUGAAAGGCAAAAAAUUUCCAAAUAGAUGGGCUGGGAUUUGAAAUUAUCUUGCAAGAGGGAGAGGGUCUUGAUUUUUAAUUGAUCAUGCAAUUGGUUUCUGCAUUCUCCGUUAGGCCAUCCAGCGAACUCAAGGGGUUUAUACGUGUCGUAUAUCAGUUCAUAAUGUUAAGGCAAACAACAUUUGACAAUAAUCAACUUUUAGGUAUACACAUCACUGGCUGAUGUUGUCGGCUCCUAUUCAAGAUGGACCUCUGUUUUCCCAAGUAAUGCCAGACCCUUGCUGUUAUUUCUUGAAGCCUCUGUGUAGACUUUGUGAAGAUGCCCCAGCUGUAUUCCAGGAAUCAUCAAAUUUAGACAUCUUAAUGUGGAUAGGAGAGUGUUUGGAGCAGUAGAAUUUGGCGUUGGAAGAUGAAGAGGAAGUCAUUAGCGCUAUCACUGUGAUCCUUCGCUCUGUUGCUAACAUAGAGCUACAAAAUAAAUUAAUAACGCAAUUGCUUUCGUCAAGUUAUGGAGUUCUCUCGAAACUUAUGAUGACGUCGAGUCUUCUGGUAGACAGAGUCCAGGCACUUACACACGUAUGUUGAGCUCUGUUACAAGAGGCCUCUACAGGAUUGGAACUGUAUUCAGCCACCUUUCGACGUUUCUGUCAUCUGUCUAUGUGGCAGAUGGUCCAAUUCUUUCUUUGUUGACUGUAUUCUGUCCCAUUUUGGAGAAGCUUUUUAGGUCUGAACACAUGGAGAAUGGCAGUUUAGCUGCAGCAGUAUGCCGUACUCUUUCAGUGGCAGUUCAAUGGUGAUCACUUUAUGCUACUACUACCCAGUGUACUGGACUGUAUCAAAAAACUUUCUGUCAUUUCAAAGCCAAGAAUGUUACAUAAGAACAGUUUGUGUAAUUGCUGAUGAAUUUUGUCACAAGGAGGAAUACUGGUCCUUGUUUACCACUACGUUUGAGAGAUUUCCCCAGGCCUCAUCACUGAUGGGAAUAAAUUUGUCAUAUAUGUGCGACCAAGAACCUGAUUUGGUGGAAGCAUAUGUGAAUUUUGCAUCAGCAUUAAUCCGCGGUUGUCAUAUGUUGUAGGAGACUUGCUUUGUUUUUUAAUAUGUAGUUAUCCUAAAUAAAAUUGGGUGACUCAGUGUGAUUCAAUGAUUUCACACGACAAACAUUAGAAUGGUUUUGCUUGCUGGGUAUACAUAUGUCUAGGAAACACGAUUUCUGUUAUUUUUAAUACCAUAAUAUAUUUGUUAAGCAAUACACGAGUGUCAAAAUAACGUCUUCAUCGAUUGUUG